RNAcentral lists this ribosomal RNA (497 nucleotides) under uncultured bacterium. RNAcentral's name for it is "partial 16S ribosomal RNA". It matches the Rfam family "Bacterial small subunit ribosomal RNA", at positions 28 to 507 of the family's 1533-position model. The record is from RNAcentral.
GAUGAACGCUGGCGGCGUGCCUAAUACAUGCAAGUCGAGCGGACGGACGAGAAGCUUGCUUUUCUGAUGUUAGCGGCGGACGGGUGAGUAACACGUGGAUAACCUACCUAUAAGACUGGGAUAACUUCGGGAAACCGGAGCUAAUACCGGAUAAUAUUUUGAACCGCAUGGUUCAAAAGUGAAAGACGGUCUUGCUGUCACUUAUAGAUGGAUCCGCGCUGCAUUAGCUAGUUGGUAAGGUAACGGCUUACCAAGGCAACGAUGCAUAGCCGACCUGAGAGGGUGCUCGGCCACACUGGAACUGAGACACGGUCCAGACUCCUACGGGACGCAGCAGUAGGGAAUCUUCCGCAAUGGGCGAAAGCCUGACGGAGCCACGCCGCGUGAGUGAUGAAGGUCUUCGGAUCGUAAAACUCUGUUAUUAGGGAAGAACAUAUGUGUAAGUAACUGUGCACAUCUUGACGGUACCUAAUCAGAAAGCCACGGCUAACUCCGUG